GCAUUUUAGGUGGGUUACAUCGGUUCGACUCCUAAGUUCAUAAUCGUCGACAUGUAUAGAUCUCUAUUUUGGUAAUCUAGUUUGGCUCAAAUUCUUGAAUGAUUCUAGAUUGGUAAAAUCUGAAUUCUCGAGCAUGUUUUAUAAUUUAAAUAGAUUAUACAUGUUGGACUUGGAAAUUGAAUUAGGAGAAAACCUGCGAUUUGGACCUGUCACUGUUACUACCUGAUUUAGCUCCAGGAGCCGUUAGAAAAUUGUACUGUCGCAGUUUCUUCGAGACGAGUACUCCAGGUAGUUUAGAAUGUAUUUACACUCGUGCUGGUUCGCCGAGUGGAUUUUUACAGGGUCGUUCAGGUCGUUUCGGACUGUUGGGUGCCGUCAGAGUUGACGGUGGACCCGUAUCGCCUUUUUGGCGUCAGAUUGUGCCGAGGGCACGUUACCUGUUGGUUGUUAGACCAGUUUGAGUCGAUUACUUGACUUUGGCUAGUUGGAGCCUGAUUGAGCUCGACAGAGAUACGCUGCAUACUCGGUUGGGUAGCGCCCACGAGUGCCACUCCGGAGUCAGGCUUGUGCUUUUGCGUUGGUGUCGCUCAUGCCAGUUGGACUUGCUCUCCACGGACCAGUUAGUGUGGAUAGAGCCUGAUAGUCGCAACGGGGCAGGGACGGGUGUAUUCACAGUCCCGGGGACGGGUAUGCUUACAGUCCCGAUUGGAUUGGGUCAGAUUUGACAUUUCCUACAGUUGGUUAGUGUAGAGCAUGAUAGUGUAGUGGAUGAUAGCGGUAGAGUAUGCUUCCUGCUUUCCUUCUAUCCUUGCUCCCUUCUGUAGACUUAGUGGGUGACCGAUGUUGUUUUGGGCGGUACCCACUGAGGACUACUUGUUUUUACAGUAGUUCUCACGCCCAGUUGUUACCUAUGUUUUGCAGAGCCACAGGUUCCGGCUGCUGCACCGUCUGCGGACCAGGAUCGAGGCAAGGGCGUCGCGAGUUAGAGCCCUACCCGACGUGCUGAGCUAGAGGUGCCCUACUGCAGGUAGAUGUUUUGUUUCGAGUUUAUGUACAUAGUUGACUUAACUCGCCAGUGCGAGUAGCUCUGUAUUUUGGAUCUGAUCUAUG
Molecule: long non-coding RNA, 1110 nt
Filed under: Ananas comosus (pineapple)
Lineage: Eukaryota; Viridiplantae; Streptophyta; Magnoliopsida; Poales; Bromeliaceae
Description: long non-coding RNA (ACOM_LNC019464)
Source: RNAcentral